AAGCUCGUAGUUGAAUUUCGGGCCUGGCUGGACGGUCCGCCCUUCGGGUGAGUACUGUCUGUGGUCGGGUCCUACCUUCUGGCGAAGCGUCAUGGCCUUAACCGGCCGUGGCGGGGAACCAGGACUUUUACUGUGAAAAAAUUAGAGUGUUCAAAGCAGGCAAUCGCUUGGAUACAUUAGCAUGGAAUAAUGGAAUAGGACAAUGGUUCUAUUUGUUGGUUUCUAGGACCGUUGUAAUGAUUAAUAGGGAUAGUUGGG
RNAcentral lists this ribosomal RNA (258 nucleotides) under Paraglomus sp. MSLA-9. RNAcentral's name for it is "partial 18S ribosomal RNA". It matches the Rfam family "Eukaryotic small subunit ribosomal RNA", at positions 624 to 886 of the family's 1831-position model. The record is from RNAcentral. RNAcentral also lists the same sequence under 1 other name. Lineage: Eukaryota; Fungi; Glomeromycota; Glomeromycetes; Paraglomerales; Paraglomeraceae.